Molecule: non-coding RNA, 344 nt
Organism: Phyllostomus hastatus (greater spear-nosed bat)
Lineage: Eukaryota; Metazoa; Chordata; Mammalia; Chiroptera; Phyllostomidae
Source: the annotation of a RefSeq genome assembly
GGGGCCUCAGGGAGCAGAAGUGGGACACCUCCACCAUGGCCUGGACCUCUCUCCUCCUCGGCCUCCUCGCUCACUGCACAGGGUCUGUGGCCUCCUAUGAGGUGACACAGCCACCCUCGAUGUCAGUGCAGCCAGGACAGACAGCCAGGAUCACCUGUGGGGGAGACAACAUUGGAAGAAAAAGUGUUGACUGGCUCCAGCAGAAGCCCAGCAAGGCCCCUGUAACCAUCAUCUACAGUGAUAGCAGCAGGCCCUCAGGGAUCCCUGACCGGUUCUCAGGCUCCAACUCGGGGAACACGGCCACCCUGACCAUCAGCGGGGUCCAGGCCCAGGGACGAGGCUGA